CCUACGGGAGGCAGCAGUGGGGAAUCUUGCGCAAUGGGCGAAAGCCUGACGCAGCAACGCCGCGUGCGGGAAGAAGGCUUUCGGGCUGUAAACCGCUUUCAGCAGGAACGAAAAUGACGGUACCUGCAGAAGAAGGAGCGGCCAACUAUGUGCCAGCAGCCGCGGUGAUACAUAGGCUUCAAGCGUUGUCCGGAUUUAUUGGGCGUAAAGAGUUCGUAGGCGGUCGAGUAAGUUGGGUGUGAAAAUUCUGGGCUCAACCCAGAGACGCCACCCGAUACUGCUUAACUUGAGUUCGAUAGGGGAGUGGGGAAUUCCUAGUGUAGCGGUGAAAUGCGCAGAUAUUAGGAGGAACACCGGUGGCGAAGGCGCCACUCUGGAUCGAUACUGACGCUGAGGAACGAAAGCAUGGGUAGCAAACAGGAUUAGAUACCCUGGUAGUCCAUGCCGUAAACGGUGGGCACUAGGUGUGGGAUUCUAUUAACGAAUUCCGCGCCGUCGCUAACGCAUUAAGUGCCCCGCCUGGGGAGUACGGUCGCAAGACUAAAACUCAAAGGAAUUGACGG
RNAcentral lists this ribosomal RNA (563 nucleotides) under uncultured bacterium. RNAcentral's name for it is "bacterial SSU rRNA". It matches the Rfam family "Bacterial small subunit ribosomal RNA", at positions 338 to 916 of the family's 1533-position model. The record is from RNAcentral.